UGGGGAAUAUUGCACAAUGGGGGAAACCCUGAUGCAGCGACGCCGCGUGAAGGACGAAGGUUUUCGGAUCGUAAACUUCUAUCAGCAGGGAGGAAGAAAUGACAGUACCUGAAUAAGCAGCCCCGGCUAACUACGUGCCAGCAGCCGCGGUAAUACGUAGGGGGCAAGCGUUAUCCGGAAUCACUGGGUGUAAAGGGUGCGUAGGCGGUAAUGCAAGUCAGAUGUGAAACCCCUUGGCUCAACCAAGGGCUUGCAUUUGAAACUGUGUUACUAGAGUGCAGGAGAGGAAAGCGGAAUUCCUAGUGUAGCGGUGAAAUGCGUAGAUAUUAGGAAGAACACCAGUGGCGAAGGCGGCUUUCUGGACUGUAACAGACGCUGAGGCACGAAAGCGUGGGUAGCGAACAGG
RNAcentral lists this ribosomal RNA (406 nucleotides) under uncultured bacterium. RNAcentral's name for it is "bacterial SSU rRNA". It matches the Rfam family "Bacterial small subunit ribosomal RNA", at positions 355 to 776 of the family's 1533-position model. The record is from RNAcentral.